This 18-nucleotide microRNA is filed under the name Heligmosomoides polygyrus. RNAcentral describes it as "hpo-miR-10078-5p". The record is from miRBase by way of RNAcentral. Lineage: Eukaryota; Metazoa; Nematoda; Chromadorea; Rhabditida; Heligmosomidae.
AUCUCAUCCUGAUCGCCA